Molecule: non-coding RNA, 392 nt
Organism: Podarcis muralis (Common wall lizard)
Lineage: Eukaryota; Metazoa; Chordata; Lepidosauria; Squamata; Lacertidae
Source: RefSeq, a predicted model, not a curated record
CUGCUGCUCAGCCAUUGCUGUGCCUGGCUGCUGCCGCUCCCCUCAGCAUCCAUCAUCUGAGGUGAUCACCUCACUCUACCUAAUGGCAGGACCGGCCCUGUAGGUGCAGAAAAUCGUCAGAAGUAAGCUUUCUGCCUCCCACCUACAGAUAGCUCUCAGCUGGUGUUAGUUUACACAGAUUGCAACUCUUAACUUUCCAUAUCUGUAACUCAUGGUCAACUUUCAGCCGAGACACACCGAGUUUCUUCGUAGGACUGUGGAUGGAAUCCCAGCAACAGAGAAGGAGUUUCUUCCUCUGGAAACAGAAUUUCCCCCUUUGCUGCCAGAAACUGCUCCAGGGAAAGGAAUCAGCACAGAGGUCAGGGGUCAGCUUCUUCACCUCACACUCUUCA